GGGACAGGGGACGUGAAGUGGGGGAAUGCGCCCUACGCCUUUCUCGGGACGUGCGGGGCCGGGUCCACGUCGGGGUGCUCCCCAAGUGUCCGGUUCCGGAACGGCUCCCAGCCUCCGCAGACACCAAAGCCCCCGACCCCAAGCAGGGGUUGAUGACGCCGGAUUGGGUGGGAGGAGAGGGUCAGCGCAGGGGUCGCCGCGCCCCCAUUCCAGCCCUGCGUUCCUCGGGACUUCCUGGCAGCUUUUCACGACUUCCCUCUCCGAGGCUCCGGCUUUUCGCUUUCAGGGCUGGUACCUCCUUCCCCAUCCCUCUCUUUGGGAUUUGUCGGCGGAAUCCGACCUCUCACCUAACUAGGAGCGCAGCUCUGGGCUCCUCCGACCCUAGACGAGGCCGGGCGGGGAAAGGGCCAGACGUCCGAGUCUCCUGACGCCAGGAAGGCAGAGGCCACCCUCGGGCUGCCCCUGGGUGACCACUUCCUGCAGCCUUGGCGGAGUCCUGAGGACGGAGGCUGGGGACUUGGGAACUUGGGGGGAAGGGCGGGGGCGGGACAGGUGAGGCGAGCUCUGCUAAGAAACCAAAUCCGCAAAGGUUCCAGCACCUGAUAAGAAUAGCUGCCUGAGGCCCUGGAGGGGCCUUGGUCAUUCAGCCCCAGGCAGGUGGUGUCCUCUUCAAGGGCAGGGGUGGACAGCGUGGUGGACCCCCUGACCACCCCCCCCCUACACACACACCUGUCAGGUCAUCCUCAAGUCUGCUGUGCCUUCAGGGGGAUAUGAACGGAAGCUUCCGAGGCUCCUUUUCCCUUCACACACCCCCUUCCUUUGUUUAGUAUAGGGGCAAAGGUCUCUCCUAGCUGUUCAUUGGGCUCUAACAGAGAAGACGUCAGGUGGGGUCCUGCCCUUGUGUUUCCCAUUAGCUGGAGGGGUGACUUAAAAUAAAGGCAAACAGCUUCUAAUUGCUUGCUAGGGCCGGUCCUGGGCUAAGUGCUUUACAGGUGUUGUUUGGGGUCUGUGCCUCCCAACAGCCCCGUGAGAGAAAGUGAUCACUCACAUUUCCGGGCCAUGGAAGCCAAGGCACGGAGUGGUUAGGCUGCUUGUCUGAACUGCGUGGUGCUGAGACCCUAACUCCAGCGUCUGCUCACAUAAUCCCUGAGCCACACUGCCUCUCGUUUCAGCCAGGGGCUGUGUCAUUUCGUUUGUGCUCCAGGGUAGAGGUAAACAGUUGUCCGGGUUACUAGGUCCUGUUUGGUGUUGCCAUAAGGAGAAGUUUGUACUUUACUCUGCAACCUUAUUCUGCAUCUGAAAGACCAGAGUUAGCUCCUGAGGCAGAAGGCUGGAGCAGCUUGUAGUUUUGCUGUGGUCAUCACAGGAUUGAAAGAUUUGGUGAUGAUAAAAUUACCCUGAAUUUGUACGGGCCUUCUUGCAAGAACCAACAAUAUCCAUAUACUUCCUGCAACAUUGUGCUGGCAUUUCUAGAGCUUAUCAAGUUGGUCACCAGGCCAAUCUUUGCUGCCAAUGGAGACUGGGCAGUGGGUUAGCAUAGGUGGUUUACUUUGGCAAGUUCAGACAGCUGUUGGAUUUAGCCAUCUCCCACUGGCCACAAUCGGAUGCUUGCAUGCACAUGGGUUGAACUUUGGGUUGGGAGCAUGAAGUCACCUGCUGCCCACUCUGGCUCUUGGGCCUCAGCAGUAAUUCUUGGCUUUCCUACCCUCAGCAUAUUGAGUGGGAAUAAGGGGAUGAAUGGAGAAUUUCUGGAAGGCACAGAUAAGUGCUAGGCGUUCACAUACAUCUAGGAUGACUGAAUAUUGCCUGGGGUUCUCAGCCAGGCGGUGCCACUGCAACCACAGUGCCUAGCUGCUGGUUUGGCCUCCUCCAUAUAGCUGCCAGCUGGGUGCUCCCCUCCCCCUGCCUUCUCCUCAGUCUGGCAGCGCUGCUUCAUGGUGUCUGUGUUCUCAGCUGCCCGUGCACAACGUGCCUGUUUGUGAAGAUGCAGAGGAGCUGUCCUGUUGAGAGCCAGAGGGAUGGAGCUGUUUCAGUGGGAUCUGGACUUUACCUGUCUAAUGGGCAGGCACAGGCUGGGACUGAGCUGAAGGGUCUGAGAGAGACUGUGGAUCCCCAGAGCUAUGCCCUAACCUGGGUGCUCAUCGGAGAGGGCAGACAUGACUGGCCACCUGAACUUACCUCCAUCUCAGGCUCAUAGUAUUUGCUAGCCACCUCCCUGAGUUCUUAUCAGACUUUGUCAAACCACCCUGGGAAGCCUAUUGGGCAAGAGACAAGUGACUUAGAGGCAUAACUGGGGCGGGAGGGGGAAGAGAAGCCACAGGUAUUUCCCUUCGUGGAGGCCUCUCUCCUUCUCUGCAGUCCUGGCGAGGGUUUGCCACUCCCAGCACCACCACAGCACCCUCCCCUUUCCAGGGACAAUGCUCCCUCUGUGAGCAUUUUAUGGGAUGUUUUUUCUUUCCACUUCACUUCUCAAGCCUUCCUUGUUCAUGCUGCUGUGUUCCUUUUUCCUAAUUCUAGCUCUUGGGGAACCUUGGGGAACCUUGGGGAGCCUCCCCAGUAGCACUAGCCCUUGGGGCCUAGGUGAAGUCCUUUGCUUGGGGUCCUACCAUGAGCCCACAGCCUCCAGGGCUUCUGUGGGAGAGGGCCGCUCCCCUAACCCCAGCAGGUCCCUGAGUUAUUGGUGAAGAGGAGAGAGGCUGGGUCCACAGGUGGUGCUGGCUGAGGAAGGAGGAGUAGAGUCGCACAGAGGAGCACUGACGGAUGGAGAACCAGUUCUGGGAGUUUGGGGAGAGAUCCAGGCAGGAGGGAGCCCACUGGGCAGAACGUAAAGCUCUGUAUGGGCAGCAUGCAUACACGGGAAAGUCUGCAGGCUGGUACCCCAGGACUUGCUGGUCAGGAAAGCCCUGCAGGAAAUGAGUGUUAGUUCUGAGGCCUGGCCCUUCGCAGCUUGGGAGGUACCGGGGCUGCUUUUGCCUUUGCCAGAGACAGCUCCAACUGAGGACCUCCCCAAUGGGUCCAUCCACAGUCCUUCCUUCCCCUAGCACCUGGGAAGACAGGCACGAUGGCGGACUCCCCAUUCCUGGAGCUGUGGCAGUCCAAGGCCGUGUCCAUCAGGGAGCAGCUGGGCCUCGGGGACCAGCCCAAUGACUCCUAUUGCUACAACUCGGCCAAAAACAGCACCGUGCUCCAGGGAGUCACCUUUGGUGGCAUCCCCACUGUCCUGCUCAUAGACGUCAGCUGCUUCCUGUUCUUAAUCUUGGUGUUUUCCAUUAUAAGAAGAAGAUUCUGGGACUUUGGCCGCAUUGCUCUGGUGUCAGAAGCAGACAGCGAGUCCAGAUUUCAGAGAUUGUCAUCGACUUCCUCCUCAGGGCAACAAGACUUUGAAAAUGAGCUGGGAUGCUGUCCCUGGCUGACUGCCAUCUUCCGUCUGCAUGAUGACCAGAUCCUGGAAUGGUGUGGGGAGGACGCCAUCCACUACCUGUCCUUCCAGAGACACAUCAUCUUCCUGCUGGUGGUGGUCAGCUUUUUGUCCCUAUGUGUCAUCCUGCCCGUCAACCUCUCAGGCGACUUGCUGGACAAAGACCCGUACAGUUUUGGGAGGACGACAAUAGCAAACCUGCAGACUGACAAUGACCUCAUUUGGCUGCAUACCAUCUUUGCCGUCAUUUACCUCUUCCUCACCGUGGGCUUCAUGCGGCACCACACUCAGUCCAUUAAGUACAAAGAGGAGAACCUGGUGAGGCGGACCCUGUUCAUCACAGGACUCCCCAGAGAUGCCAGGAAGGAGACUGUGGAGAGCCACUUCCGGGAUGCGUACCCCACGUGUGAGGUGGUUGAUGUCCAGCUGUGCUACAACGUGGCCAAACUGAUCUACUUGUGCAAGGAGAGAAAGAAGACUGAGAAGAGCCUGACCUAUUACACGAACCUGCAGGUGAAGACAGGCCAGCGGACCCUCAUCAACCCCAAGCCCUGUGGCCAGUUUUGCUGCUGCGAAGUGCUGGGCUGUGAGUGGGAAGACGCCAUCUCUUACUAUACGCGGAUGAAGGACAGGCUGCUGGAGAGGAUCACAGAGGAAGAAUGCCACGUCCAGGACCAGCCCCUGGGAAUGGCCUUUGUCACCUUCCAGGAGAAGUCCAUGGCCACCUACAUCCUGAAAGAUUUCAAUGCCUGCAAGUGUCAGAGCCUUCAGUGCAAAGGUGAGCCCCAGCCGUCCUCCCAUAGCAGAGAGCUCUGUACCUCCAAGUGGACAGUCACCUUUGCCGCUGACCCUGAGGACAUCUGCUGGAAGAACCUCUCUAUCCAGGGCCUCCGCUGGUGGCUACAGUGGCUGGGCAUCAACUUCACCCUCUUCCUGGGGCUGUUUUUCCUGACCACACCCUCCAUCAUCCUGUCCACCAUGGACAAGUUUAAUGUCACCAAACCCAUCCAUGCGCUGAAUAACCCAAUCAUCAGCCAGUUCUUCCCUACCCUCCUGCUCUGGUCCUUCUCGGCUCUGCUCCCCUCCAUUGUCUACUACUCUACACUGCUGGAGUCUCACUGGACCAAGUCAGGGGAAAACCAGAUCAUGAUGACCAAAGUCUACAUAUUCUUGAUCUUCAUGGUGCUGAUCCUGCCCUCCCUGGGUCUCACCAGUCUAGACUUUUUCUUCCGGUGGCUCUUUGACAAAACUUCCUCGAAGGCUUCCAUCAGGUUGGAGUGUGUCUUCCUGCCUGACCAGGGCGCCUUCUUUGUGAACUACGUCAUCGCCUCGGCCUUCAUCGGCAAUGGCAUGGAGCUGCUGCGGCUGCCAGGCCUCAUCCUCUACACCUUCCGCAUGAUCAUGGCCAAGACGGCUGCCGACCGCAGGAAUGUCAAGCAGAACCAGGCCUUCCAGUACGAGUUUGGAGCCAUGUAUGCGUGGAUGCUGUGUGUCUUCACUGUCAUCAUGGCCUACAGCAUCACCUGUCCCAUCAUUGCGCCAUUUGGCCUCAUCUACAUCCUGCUCAAGCACAUGGUGGACCGGCACAACCUCUACUUCGUCUACCUCCCAGCCAAGCUGGAGAAGGGGAUACACUUUGCUGCUGUGAACCAGGCCUUGGCAGCCCCCAUCCUAUGCCUCUUCUGGCUCUACUUCUUUUCCUUCCUGCGCCUGGGUAUGAAGGCCCCUGCCACUCUGUUCACCUUCCUGGUGCUGCUGCUCACCAUCCUGGUCUGCCUGGCUCACACCUGCUUUGGAUGCUUCAAGCACCUCAGCCCUCUGAACUACAAAGUAAAGGUCCCCGACCCCACUGCCCCGUCAAGCCCUGGGAGGAACAGAUGGUGGGAUGGGCUCACUCUCAACGCCUCCCCCCCUUGUCCGUAUCAACACAGCAGCAGCCUUCUCCAGAUUCUGCUUCUCCAUGGGAAAGGCGUGGGUGGUUGGGUGCCAUGUGUAGCUUCCCUUGCUCCCCUCAUCACUGCACUCCCCCACCCCAUCCUCUCUCAGGCUGCCGGGGAGCUUGGUGCCAGCUGGUACUAUUAUUCCGGGUGUUAAUAGUCUCUGUGUUUGGAGGGUGUUCGUUCACAGAGAUCAGUUUUGUUUAUCAUUGCAAGUUUUUGCUGUUAUCUGCAGACAGAAGAGCCUGCAAGUGACAAAGGAAGUGAGGCAGAGGCCCACAUGCCUCCACCGUUCACACCCUAUGUGCCUCGGAUUCUGAACGGCUUGGCCUCGGAGAGGACAGCACUGUCUCCGCAGCAGCAGCAGACGUAU
Molecule: non-coding RNA, 5728 nt
Organism: Chlorocebus sabaeus (green monkey)
Lineage: Eukaryota; Metazoa; Chordata; Mammalia; Primates; Cercopithecidae
Source: RefSeq, a predicted model, not a curated record